Molecule: ribosomal RNA, 465 nt
Filed under: uncultured bacterium
Lineage: Bacteria
Description: partial 16S ribosomal RNA
Rfam family: Bacterial small subunit ribosomal RNA
Source: RNAcentral
GACGAACGCUGGCGGCGUGCUUAACACAUGCAAGUCGAACGGAAAGGCCCCUUUGGGGGUACUCGAGUGGCGAACGGGUGAGUAACACGGGAGUAACCUGCCCUUGACUUCUGGAUAACUUCAGGAAACUGGGGCUAAUACCGGAUAGGAAUCAUUGCUGCAUGGUGGGGGUUGGAAAGCUUCGGGGGUUUUGGAUGGACUCGUGGCUUAUUAGCUUGUUGGUGGGGUAGUGGCUUACCAAGGCUUUGACGGGUAGCCGGCCUGAGAGGGCGACCGGCCACACUGGGACUGACGUACGGCCCAGACGCCGACGGGAGGAAGCAGUGGGGAAUAUUGCACAAGGGGCGGAGGCCUGAUGCAGCAACGCCGCGGGCGGGAUGACGGUCUUCGGGUUGUAGACCGCUUUCAGCAGGGGCGAAGCUUGUGGUGACGGUACCUGCAGAAGAAGCACCGGCUAACUACGUG